UCUGACUGCCGGAAGUUCACCGUGUCUAUUCUCAAGAUUCAUGCCAGAGAGAUCUUUGACUCCUGUGGGAAUCCCACUGUUGAGGUGGAUCUGUACACCGCAAAAGGUCUCUUCCGAGCUGCGGUGUCCAGUGGUGCAUCCAAGGCAUCUAAGAGGCCCUAGAACUCUGAGACAAUGACAAGACCUGCUUCAUGGGGAAGGUGUCUCACAGGCUGUUGAGCACAUCAAUACACUAUUGCACCUGCUCUGGUUAGCAAGAAACUGAAUGUUGUGGAGCAGGAGAAGAUUGACCGGCUGAUGAUCAAGAUGGACGACACCAAGAAUAAAUGUAAAUUUGGUGCAAAUGCCAUUCUGGGAGUGUCCCUGGCUGUCUGCAAAGCUGGUGCCAUGGAAAAGGAGGUACUCCUUUACCGUCACAUUGUUGACUUGGCCAGCAACCCUGAGGUCAUCCUGCCGGUCCCAGCUUUCAGUAUGAUCAAUGGAAGUUCUCAUGCUGGCAACAAGCUGGCCAUGCAAGAGUUCAUGAUCGAUCCUGCCUAUGGGAGCAUCCUCUUUCCAGGAAGCCAUGCACAUUGGAGCAGAGGUUUACCACAACCUGAAGAACGUCAUCAAGAAGAGGUAUGGGAAAGACACCACCAGUGUGGGUGAUGAGGGCGGAUUCACCCCUAACAUCCUGGAGAACAAAGAAGCCCUGGAGCUGCUCAAGACUGCAAUUGCAAAGGCUGGCUACACUGACCAGGUUGUCAUCGGCAUGGAUGUGGCUGCCUCCGAGUUCUACAGGUCUGGCAAGUAUGAUCUGGACUUCAAGUCUCCAGUUGACCUUAUCAGGUACAUCACACCUGACCAGCUGAAUAACCUAUACAAGUCCUUCAUUCAGGACUACCCAGUGGUGUCCAUUGAAGACCCCUUUGACCAGGACAACUGGGAUGCUUGGCAGAAGUUCACAGCUAGUGCAGACAAUCUGGGUGAUGGGCCACAGUGACCAACCCUAAGCGAAUUAUCAAGGCUGCAGGCGAGAAGUCCUGCAACUGCCUUCUGUUCAGAGUGAACCAGAUUGGCUCUGUGACUGAGUCUCUGCAGGCGUGUAAGCUGGCCCUGUCCAAUGGCUGGGGUGUCAUGGUGUCCCUUGAACUGGGGAAACCGAGGACACUUUCAUUGCCGACCUGGUGGUGGGGCUCUGCACUGGGCAGAUCAAGACUGGUGCCCCUUGCCAAUCUGAGUGCCUACCAAAUACAAUCAGAUCCUUAGAAUCGAGGAAGAGCUGCGCAGAAAAGCUAAGUUUGCUGGCAGGUCCUUCAGGAACCUCCUGGCCAAGUAA
Arvicanthis niloticus (Nile rat) is the source of this 1318-nucleotide non-coding RNA. Lineage: Eukaryota; Metazoa; Chordata; Mammalia; Rodentia; Muridae. The record is from RefSeq and is a predicted model, not a curated record.